UUGUUCUUCGGAGCAGAGAGAGCGGCGCACGGGUGCGGAACACGUGUGCAACCUGCCUUUAUCGUGGGGGAUAGCCUUUCGAAAGGAAGAUUAAUACCCCAUAAUAUGUUGAAUGGCAUCAUUCGAUAUUGAAAACUCCGGUGGAUGAGAGAUGGGCGACGCGCAGAGAUUAGAUAGUUGGUGAGGUAACGGCUCACCAAGUCUGCGAUCUUUAGGGGGCCUGAGAGGGUGAUCCCCCACACUGGUACUGAGACACGGACCAGACUCCUACGGGAGGCAGCAGUGAGGAAUAUUGGACAAUGGGUGAGAGCCUGAUCCAGCCAUCCCGCGUGAAGGACGACGGCCCUAUGGGUUGUAAACUUCUUUUGUAUAGGGAUAAACCUACUCUCGUGAGAUUAUCUGAAGGUACUAUACGAAUAAGCACCGGCUAA
RNAcentral lists this ribosomal RNA (431 nucleotides) under Chryseobacterium sp. Arv-22-2.5a. RNAcentral describes it as "bacterial SSU rRNA". It matches the Rfam family "Bacterial small subunit ribosomal RNA", at positions 73 to 500 of the family's 1533-position model. Lineage: Bacteria; Pseudomonadati; Bacteroidota; Flavobacteriia; Flavobacteriales; Weeksellaceae. The record is from RNAcentral.